Molecule: transfer RNA, 66 nt
Filed under: Dasypogon diadema
Lineage: Eukaryota; Metazoa; Arthropoda; Insecta; Diptera; Asilidae
Description: tRNA-Cys
Source: RNAcentral
AGCUUUAUAGUCAUUUGAUGAUAUUAGACUGCAAUUCUGAAGGAGUAAAUAGUAUUACUAAGGCUU